Non-coding RNA from Hordeum vulgare subsp. vulgare (domesticated barley), 115 nucleotides. The record is from Rfam. Lineage: Eukaryota; Viridiplantae; Streptophyta; Magnoliopsida; Poales; Poaceae.
AUAAUACUCCCUCCGUCCAGAAUUAGUUAUCGCUCAAAUGGAUGUAUCAAGCAUUAAAAUACAUCUCGAUACAUCCAUUUAAGCGUCAACUAAUUCCGGACGGAGGAAGUAGAAA